RNAcentral lists this ribosomal RNA (253 nucleotides) under uncultured bacterium. RNAcentral's name for it is "partial 16S ribosomal RNA". It matches the Rfam family "Bacterial small subunit ribosomal RNA", at positions 524 to 776 of the family's 1533-position model. The record is from RNAcentral.
UACGGGGGGGGCAAGCGUUGUUCGGAUUUACUGGGCGUAAAGGGCGCGCAGGCGGCUCAUUUUGUCAGGCGUGAAAGCCCCGGGCUUAACCUGGGAACUGCGUUUGAUACGGAUGGGCUAGAGUUCGGGAGAGGAGAGUGGAAUUCCCAGUGUAGAGGUGAAAUUCGUAGAUAUUGGGAAGAACACCGGUGGCGAAGGCGGCUCUCUGGACCGAGACUGACGCUGAGGCGCGAAAGCGUGGGGAGCAAACAGG